GAGCCGUGCUAUGAAAUAUGAGACCUUCGGCCUACGGUCCUGGAGGUCAGCUGGAAGCUCCAUAUUGCUUCCGGCCUUUCCUUUUGCUCCCCGCCCCCCUUUGCCUCCUCACGCUGUUUCCCCUCCCCCGCCGUCUCUCCCUUCAGUUUGCGUGGGUUUUGGCGAGGCGGAGCCCUGGAGUAAAACCUGGGGUCGGUGUUGUGAGACCCGGCCCUUGCGGUUGGGAGCCGGAGCUGUGGGGCGGGCUGACUGAGGGCGAAAGCAUGUCCUCCCUCCCUGGGUGCAUGAGUUUGGCUGCAGCGCCAGCUGCGGCGGACUCUGCAGAGAUUGCUGAGCUGCAGCAGGCAGUGGUUGAAGAGCUGGGUAUCUCUAUGGAGGAACUUCGUCAGUUCAUCGAUGAAGAACUGGAAAAGAUGGACUGUAUACAGCAGCGCAAGAAGCAGCUGGCAGAGCUGGAGACGUGGGUGCUGCAGAAGGAGUCUGAGGUGGCUUAUGUUGAUCGGCUGUUUGAUGAUGCAUCUAGCUUCGUGAAGCUAUGGCUGCCUUAAGAAAAUCAGCUCAAGAUGUCCAGAAGUUCAUGGAUGCUGUGAAUAAGAGAAGCAGUUCUUAAGAUCUAUAUAAUGGAACCUUGGGUCAGGUGUCUGGAGAACUGAGCAAAGAUGGGGACCUGAUAGUCAGCAUGCGGAUUCUGGGCAAGAAGAGGACUAAGACGCGGCACAAAGGCACCCUCAUUGCCAUUCAGACUGUCGGGCUAGGAAAGAAAUACAAAGUGAAAUUUGACAACAAAGGAAAGAGUCUGCUGUCUGGGAACCAUAUUGCCUAUGAUUACCACCCUCCUGCUGACAAGCUGUUUGUGGGCAGUCGAGUGGUGGCCAAAUACAAAGAUGGAAAUCAGGUCUGGCUUUAUGCUGGCAUUGUAGCUGAGACCCCUAACGUCAAGAACAAGCUCAGGUACCCAGACAGGGAUUGUAGAUUGUAGAGGAGUAGGGGCUGGGAGCAUGGUGCCCAUCUUUCUUUUUUUUUUUUUUUUCCGGAGCUGGGGACCGAACCCAGGGCCUUGUGCUUGCUAGGCAAGUGCUCUACCACUGAGCUAAAUCCCCAACCUCGGUGCCCAUCUCUUAUACUGUGGUCAGCAUUUCAUUGUUAGCUUUUUUUCCAUGUCAUUGUUUUUUUGUUGUUUUUUUUUUUAAGACAACAUCUCUAUGCAUAACUUAUGUUUCCAUUGCAGUCUUUCUGUAUCCUAGAUUUGUCUCAAACUCACAAACCUCCUGCUGUACCUCUUUAGUGCCAGAAUUGGAGAGAUUAGUCACCAUUAAGGACAAAAAUAUGGAAAUUGGGAGAUUAAUAAAGACUAAUGAUGCAGUGGGAAGGAAUGAAGUCAAGAUUAAACGGUAGCAUAGGAAUACAAUAGAAAAAUCCAUACCUGGGAUAUUUUUUUCAGUUUGGGUUUUUUGUUUUUUUGAGAAAGGGUUUCUCUGUAGCUCUGGCUGUCCUGGAACUUGCUCUAUAGACUACCAUUUGGCCUCCAUCUCAAAAAGGUGUCUUGCCUCUGUCUCCCGAGUGAGUUUUGACAUUAAAGGUGUAUCACCACUAGGUAAA
Rattus norvegicus (Norway rat) is the source of this 1599-nucleotide RNA transcript. It is a transcript of the gene named SET domain bifurcated histone lysine methyltransferase 1, pseudogene 1, with no coding region annotated. NCBI's taxonomy places the organism in Eukaryota, Metazoa, Chordata, Mammalia, Rodentia, Muridae. The record is from RefSeq and is marked validated. The transcript is spliced from 5 exons.